Molecule: transfer RNA, 82 nt
Organism: Ipomoea nil (Japanese morning glory)
Lineage: Eukaryota; Viridiplantae; Streptophyta; Magnoliopsida; Solanales; Convolvulaceae
Rfam family: tRNA
About the family: Transfer RNA (tRNA) molecules are approximately 80 nucleotides in length. Their secondary structure includes four short double-helical elements and three loops (D, anti-codon, and T loops).
Source: Rfam
GUCAAUAUGUCCGAGUGGUUAAGGAGAUAGACUUGAAAUCUAUUGGGCUUUGCCUGCGCAGGUUCAAAUCCUGCUGUUGACG